UGAAAGUUCCUACAAACCUCUCAGCUGCC
This 29-nucleotide small RNA is filed under the name Bombyx mori (domestic silkworm). RNAcentral's name for it is "ovarian small RNA-7877". Lineage: Eukaryota; Metazoa; Arthropoda; Insecta; Lepidoptera; Bombycidae. The record is from RNAcentral.